CGAAAGCCUGACGGAGCAAGACCGCGUGAGGGAGGAAGGCUCUUGGGUUGUAAACCUCUUUUCUCAGGGAAGAAGCUCUGACGGUACCUGAGGAAUCAGCCUCGGCUAACUCCGUGCCAGCAGCCGCGGUAAUACGGAGGAGGCAAGCGUUAUCCGGAAUUAUUGGGCGUAAAGCGUCCGCAGGUGGCAUAUCAAGUCUGCUGUCAAAGACCGAAGCUCAACUUCGGGCAGGCAGUGGAAACUGGUAAGCUAGAGUACGGUAGGGGUAGAGGGAAUUUCCAGUGUAGCGGUGAAAUGCGUAGAGAUUGGAAAGAACACCAGUGGCGAAGGCGCUCUACUGGACCGAAACUGACACUCAGGGACGAAAGCUAGGGGAGCG
RNAcentral lists this ribosomal RNA (379 nucleotides) under uncultured cyanobacterium. RNAcentral's name for it is "bacterial SSU rRNA". It matches the Rfam family "Bacterial small subunit ribosomal RNA", at positions 376 to 770 of the family's 1533-position model. The record is from RNAcentral. Lineage: Bacteria; Bacillati; Cyanobacteriota.